RNAcentral lists this unclassified non-coding RNA (252 nucleotides) under uncultured fungus. RNAcentral describes it as "partial contains 5.8S ribosomal RNA, internal transcribed spacer 2, and large subunit ribosomal RNA". The record is from RNAcentral. Lineage: Eukaryota; Fungi.
AACGCACAUUGCGCCCAUCAGUAUUCUGGCGGGCAUGCCUGUUCGAGCGUCAUUUCAAAACUCAAGCUUUGCUUGGUGUUGGAAAUUGCAUUCUUGCAUUUCUAGAAACUAGUGGCGGGUUAACAUUAUCCUAGGUGCAGUAAUAUUGUCGCCUCUUGGACUUGUGAAGCUCUGUCUACCAUCUCCAUUUCAUUAUGGUGAAAAUCUCAAUAGUUUGACCUCGGAUCAGGUAGGAAUACCCGCUGAACUUAA